AGUGAACGCUGGCGGUAGGCCUAACACAUGCAAGUCGAACGGCAGCACAGUAAGAGCUUGCUCUUACGGGUGGCGAGUGGCGGACGGGUGAGGAAUACAUCGUAAUCUACUUUUUCGUGGGGGAUAACGUAGGGAAACUUACGCUAAUACCGCAUACGACCUACGGGUGAAAGCAUGGGAUCUUCGGACCUUGCGCGAUUGAAUGAGCCGCUGUCGGAUUAGCUAGUUGGCUGGGUAAAGGCCCACCAAGGCGACGAUCCGUAGCUGGUCUGAGAGGAUGAUCAGCCACAUGGGAACGGAGACACGGUCCAGACUCCUACGGGAGGCAGCAGACGGGAAUGUUAGACAAUGGGCGCAAGCCUGAUCCAGCGAUACCGCGUGGGUGGAGAAGGCCUUCGGGUUGUAAAGCCCUUUUGUUGGGAAAGAAAAGCAGCAGGUUAAUACCCCGCUGGUCUGACGGUACCCAAAGAAUAAGCACCGGCUAACUUCGUG
Molecule: ribosomal RNA, 492 nt
Filed under: uncultured bacterium
Lineage: Bacteria
Description: partial 16S ribosomal RNA
Rfam family: Bacterial small subunit ribosomal RNA
Source: RNAcentral